AUAAUAUUAGAAUUGUUACAUUAGGUAAAAAUUGAGAUAUUAGAUUUAUGUCGUGAGUAAAUGUAUUAGAUACUAUAGAUUAAGGUAUUGUGAGAGAUUUUUGAAAAAUUGAAAAUAUAUUUAUAAGGAAGCUAUUUUUAUGUACCUUUUGCAUUAGGGAUUAACUAUAAAAAUUAAUUAUUUAUUUAUCUCGAAAUGUUUUGAGCUACUUGGUAUAAAGGUGUAUUGUUGUAUAAAUAUAUUAGAUAUUUAGUAGGAAUGAAAUUUUUGUCAAAAAAUGUGAUAUCUAGUUAUGGAAGGAAAACUAUAUGUUUAAAAUAAUUGAUAAGAUGUUAAAAGAAUUAUUGAUUUUUUAUUUAGGGAUAAGCUUGGAUAAAUAAUAUAAAGUUUCUUUUUUAUUUGUUGAAGGUUUAAAAUUUACUUAUUAUUUGUAAUAAAAUAGUAAUUUUUGGGAUUUUUUUUAUAAAAGUUUUUUUAUAGAAUUUGAUUUAAAAGGAAAAAUGUUAGUAUUAGUAUAAGUUUAUUUCUGGGGAUAUUUUUAAAUUUUAUAUUUGGAUAAGAUUUUAGAUGUAAAGGAAUUAGGCAAAUAUAAUUUUUGCAUGUUUAACAAAAACAUAGUAUUUUGAUUUUAAUAAAAUAUAUGAUCUGCUCAAUGAUUUAUUAAAUUGCUGUGGUAUUUUGACUAUACGAAGGUAUUGAAAUAAGGCUUUAAUUGGGUGCUAAGAGAAUGGUUAGACAGGGAUUGACUUUCUUUGUAUUUAAAAUUGAAGUUGAUUUAAAAAUGAAAAAGUUUUUAUGAGUUUUUAGGACAAGAAGACCCUAUGAAUUUUUUUUAAAGAAUUUAUUUAUAAUUUUUGUUAUAUUAAGUGAAGUAAUAAUUUAAGUUGAUUGGGGCGAUUUUUGAAGAUUGAAUAUCUUUAUAAAUUUGAUGUAAUUAGAACCAAAAAUUUUGGUUUUUUGAGUAAAAUACUCUAGGGAUAACAGCGUUAUUAUUUUGGAUAGUUCAUAUAGAUGAAGUAGUUUGCGACCUCGAUGUUGGAUUAAGAUACCUUUUUAAUGUAGCAGUUUUAAAAGGAAGUUUGCUCAACUUUUGAAAUCUUACAUGAUCUGAGUUCAGACCGGCGUGAGCCAGGUUGGUUUCUAUCUAAUAAUUAAGUAGAAUUAUUUUAGUACGAAAGGAAUUGAUGAUUCAAAAUUUUUGACUGAGAAAUUUAAGAUUCGGUUUAAU
This 1228-nucleotide ribosomal RNA is filed under the name Ornithodoros tabajara. RNAcentral's name for it is "16S ribosomal RNA". The stretch from base 977 to 1135 matches the Rfam family "Archaeal large subunit ribosomal RNA", at positions 2542 to 2701 of the family's 2987-position model. The record is from RNAcentral. Lineage: Eukaryota; Metazoa; Arthropoda; Arachnida; Ixodida; Argasidae.